GCCGGGAUGGCGGAACUGGUAGACGCGCCGGAUUCAAAAUCCGGUUCUCGAAAGAGAGUGGGGGUUCGAUUCCCCCUCCCGGCACCA
This 87-nucleotide transfer RNA is filed under the name Leucothrix pacifica. RNAcentral describes it as "tRNA-Leu". It matches the Rfam family "tRNA". From Rfam's summary of the family: Transfer RNA (tRNA) molecules are approximately 80 nucleotides in length. Lineage: Bacteria; Pseudomonadati; Pseudomonadota; Gammaproteobacteria; Thiotrichales; Thiotrichaceae. The record is from RNAcentral.